This is a long non-coding RNA of Bacillus rossius redtenbacheri, 983 nucleotides long. RefSeq lists it as uncharacterized. Lineage: Eukaryota; Metazoa; Arthropoda; Insecta; Phasmatodea; Bacillidae. The transcript has 2 exons. The record is from RefSeq and is a predicted model, not a curated record.
AUCUAUGGCGCUUUUCAUAAUAAAGAUGGCUUACAAUGUUUUUGUUAACGAAUACUUUUUGCGGCAUAAGUAUUAUUGUGAAACUUAAUAUUCAUAUCGCGUUAAAAUUCUGACAUUUCGCGGAUAAUUCGUGAAACAACAAGAAUAUAGUGAAUAGUAACGAAAUGCUGUAAAAUCAAAAUAGGCGUUUGGAAACAUUUGUAAGUGCUUAGAAUGUAGUUCCAAAAUCGUUUGUAAAAUUUCACGAUUUCGUCAUUAACGAAUUUCGAGUACCUCUAAGUAUAGUUCAACAUGGGAAAACCUAAAAACUGUCAGCCGAUCGUAUCCAUUUAUUGCAGUUCCCGUCUGUACAUGUUGUGCCUGGAGCUUCAUGCCUACAAAACCAACUGAGGGUUUCACACGGUGUUUUUUUGAGGAUCUGACUGGCCCAACACCAUGGUCCUGCCUCUAUGACAUUGAAGAUGGAGUGUGCACACACCUUCUUGUUGUAGAGGUCUCAUCUGCGCACUUUGCUGGGAGGAGGCAUCAUGCUGUGGUCAUCGUCGUGCCACCUGUGGUGCUCGAUGAAGUCGAACAGUUUCUCUUUCGUGAUCGGGUCACGGAUGCUGUUGCACACGCCUGCGACAAACACAUUACGAUACUUUAGCCCAAUGAAAUACAACUGUCAACUUUUUUAUUUGGAAUAUAUAAGAAAAAUUAGUCAUAUUUUUAAUAACCAAAAAUUGUGUGUGGAAUUUGCUAUUCUUAAAUAAUACUACACUUUAAUUUUAAUAAAACUCAAAUUAGAAAUAGGUAGGCCUGGGUGAUUAAGAGUUUUUUUUUUAGUUUGAAUUGAAUACAGAUAUAAAAUUAUUCUUGAAUUCAAAUGGUAGGAUAGAGUAUUAGACGUCAACUAAUUUUUUUUCCUCUGGAAAAAAAAAAUUGGCAAAUAUAGUAAUGUGAGAGGUCAGCUACAAUAAAUAUGUGGGAAAUGUUUAUUUAAA